GUGGGUGUAGCUCAAUUGGUUAGAGCGUCAGACUGUGGCUCUGAAUGUUGGGGGUUCGAGUCCCCUCACCCACC
This 74-nucleotide transfer RNA is filed under the name Planctomycetota bacterium. RNAcentral describes it as "Planctomycetes bacterium (hot springs metagenome) tRNA-His". It matches the Rfam family "tRNA". Rfam says of the family: Transfer RNA (tRNA) molecules are approximately 80 nucleotides in length. Their secondary structure includes four short double-helical elements and three loops (D, anti-codon, and T loops). The record is from RNAcentral. Lineage: Bacteria; Pseudomonadati; Planctomycetota.